RNAcentral lists this ribosomal RNA (1349 nucleotides) under metagenome. RNAcentral describes it as "bacterial LSU rRNA". It matches the Rfam family "Bacterial large subunit ribosomal RNA", at positions 1564 to 2925 of the family's 2925-position model. The record is from RNAcentral.
UGAGUGCGAGCGGCUACGGCCGCGAAGUGGGUGAUGUCAAGCUUCCAAGAAAAGCCCUAUACCCGUUAAGGCAUGAUGGCCUGUACCCGAAACCGACACAGGUGGGGUGGUAGAGAAUACCGAGGGGCGCGAGGUAACUCUCUCUAAGGAACUCGGCAAAAUGGCCCCGUAACUUCGGGAGAAGGGGUGCCACCGCAAGGUGGUCGCAGUGAAGAGGCCCAGGCGACUGUUUACCAAAAACACAGGUCUCCGCUAAGUCGCAAGACGAUGUAUGGGGGCUGACGCCUGCCCAGUGCCGGAAGGUUAAGGAAGCUGGUCAGCGCAAGCGAAGCUAGCGACUGAAGCCCCGGUGAACGGCGGCCGUAACAAUAACGGUCCUAAGGUAGCGAAAUUCCUUGUCGGGUAAGUUCCGACCCGCACGAAAGGCGUAACGAUCUGGGCGCUGUCUCGGAGAGAGGCUCGGCGAAAUAGAAUUGUCUGUGAAGAUGCGGACUACGUGCACCCGGACAGAAAGACCCUAUGAAGCUUUACUGUAGCUUGGUAUUGUGCCCGGGCUCUGAAUGCGCAGGAUAGGUGGGAGGCUUUGAUCCAUGGCUUGCGGGUCAUGGUGAGCCAACGGUGAGAUACCACUCUUUCAGAGCUAGGGUUCUAACGGUCACCCGUCAUCCGGGGACCGGACAGUAUCAGGUGAGCAGUUUGACUGGGGCGGUCGCCUCCUAAAAGGUAACGGAGGCGCGCAAAGGUUUGCUCAGGCUGGUUGGAAAUCAGCCGACGAGUGCAAAAGCAGAAGCAAGCUUGACUGUGAGACCUACAAGUCGAACAGGGACGAAAGUCGGCUUUAGUGAUCCGACGGUUCUGAGUGGAAGGGCCGUCGCUCAACGGAUAAAAGUUACUCUAAGGAUAACAGGCUGAUCUCCCCCAAGAGUUCACAUCGACGGGGAGGUUUGGCACCUCGAUGUCGGCUCAUCGCAACCUGGGGCUGAAGUCGGUCCCAAGGGUUGGGCUGUUCGCCCAUUAAAGCGGUACGCGAGCUGGGUUCAGAACGUCGUGAGACAGUUCGGUCCAUAUCCGGUGCACGCGCAGGAACAUUGAGAGGAUUUCUCCCUAGUACGAGAGGACCGGGAGGAACGCACCUCUGGUGUGCCAGUUAUCGUGCCAACGGUAAACGCUGGGUAGCCAUGUGCGGAGUGGAUAACCGCUGAAAGCAUCUAAGUGGGAAGCCCACCUCAAGAUGAGUGUUCCCAUGGCAUAAGCCAGUAAGGUCACGGGAAGAACACCCGUUGAUAGGCUCUACGUGGAAGCCGGGUAACCGGUGAAGCGGAGGAGUACUAAUAGACCGAGGGCUUGAC